Molecule: ribosomal RNA, 469 nt
Filed under: uncultured bacterium
Lineage: Bacteria
Description: partial 16S ribosomal RNA
Rfam family: Bacterial small subunit ribosomal RNA
Source: RNAcentral
GACGAACGCUGGCGGCGUGCUUAAUACAUGCAAGUCGAACGGAAAGGCCCUGCUUUUGUGGGGUGCUCGAGUGGCGAACGGGUGAGUAACACGUGAGUAACCUGCCCUUGACUUUGGGAUAACUUCAGGAAACUGGGGCUAAUACCGGAUAGGAGCUCCUGCUGCAUGGUGGGGGUUGGAAAGUUUCGGCGGUUGGGGAUGGACUCGCGGCUUAUCAGCUUGUUGGUGGGGUAGUGGCUUACCAAGGCUUUGACGGGUAGCCGGCCUGAGAGGGUGACCGGCCACAUUGGGACUGAGAUACGGCCCAGACUCCUACGGGAGGCAGCAGUGGGGAAUAUUGCACAAUGGGCGGAAGCCUGAUGCAGCAACGCCGCGUGCGGGAUGACGGCCUUCGGGUUGUAAACCGCUUUCGCCUGUGACGAAGCGUGAGUGACGGUAAUGGGUAAAGAAGCGCCGGCUAACUACGUGC